Molecule: ribosomal RNA, 465 nt
Filed under: uncultured bacterium
Lineage: Bacteria
Description: partial 16S ribosomal RNA
Rfam family: Bacterial small subunit ribosomal RNA
Source: RNAcentral
GACGAACGCUGGCGGCGUGCUUAACACAUGCAAGUCGAACGGAAAGGCCCCUUUGGGGGUACUCGAGUGGCGAACGGGUGAGUAACACGUGAGUAACCUGCCCUUGACUUCGGGAUAACUUCAGGAAACUGGGGCUAAUACCGGAUAGGAAUCCUUGCUGCAUGGUGGGGGUUGGAAAGCUUCGGCGGUUUUGGAUGGACUCGCGGCUUAUCAGCUUGUUGGUGGGGUAGUGGCUUACCAAGGCUUUGACGGGUAGCCGGCCUGAGAGGGCGACCGGCCACCUUGGGACUGAGAUACGGCCCAGACUCCUACGGGAGGCAGCAGUGGGGAAUAUUGCACCAUGGGCGGAAGCCUGAUGCAGCAACGCCGCGUGCGGGAUGACGGCCUUCGGGUUGUAAACCGCUUUCAGCAGGGGCGAAGCUUGUGGUGACGGUACCUGCAGAAGAAGCACCGGCUAACUACGUG